GCCAUAUAGUUUAAAUAGAACAACAGUUUUGUAAGCUGAGAGUGAUUAUUGGUCUGUCUAUGGCU
Molecule: transfer RNA, 65 nt
Filed under: Goniodes dissimilis (brown chicken louse)
Lineage: Eukaryota; Metazoa; Arthropoda; Insecta; Psocodea; Philopteridae
Description: tRNA-Thr
Source: RNAcentral